UUCUUCGCUUCAGGGUCUUAAGGUGAUUGCGUUUCUGGUUGUGCUUGCGAUUCCACUCCUAUUGUUUAGCUGAUUCGUUGCAACAGCAGCUUUGCUUAAACAUACUGGUGAACCUUUGGUCAACAUGAAAAGAGCUGCUGGCCCUUCGGCAAAUGGAAGGAGCAGGAAGUACACUUCUUUGGUUAAAUGGGCACAGCAAGGCAACACAAUGGCAUUUCUUGUUCGCGGCUGCACCCUGAAUGACCACCUCAACAAAUCAAAAUGACUGAGUUGAAUAAGGCGCAGCCUCAGGUGCAGAUGACCAAGGUGCCAUUUUAAUAAGCGUGACUAAGCACUUCCAUUGCCACUUCAGUGGCCUGCUGUAAACACUCUGUUGCAUGCCACAGACACAGGUUUGUUUUGAUGAAGGUGCAACCAGCGAGGCUCUCCCGAGCCUGGACUCUCUCCCGAGCCUAGACUCUCCCUUGUGAUUUCUCUGAGGUGACAAUGCUUAUGGGACACUUCAGAGUGUUAAUUAGUCAGGGGUAACUUUGGGAAAGUGCAAAUAAUGGGAGGUUCAUUAAUUCUACCUUCAUGAAAAGAAUAUUUUUGCUUUAAAAAACAAUUUCUCAACAGUUUCAAUUAAAGCAGGAAAAUUAUAAAAAUUAUUAUUAAAUAUUAUAUUAUAAUAUAUUAGAGUAUUUAUUUUUAUAUUCCAGAAAAAAUAAAACACAAUUAAGUUGCCAUAGUGACCAUUAAAAAAAAUAUAUUCAAUCUGUAUUCUGAAAAGGAAUGAAAAUAUAAAUAUAAAAAAUAAAAAGGGACAGUUAUUACAAUAAAAGUAGGCAAUCUGAGCCUGGGUGGAGGUUUAACAAGCACAAAAUCACACUGCUAUAGUGACACUGGAUUAUGCCAUUAAUCUAAACUUUUAUGUGCAUAUUGAUGGAUUUUUCAGUUGGCAAUUUUAUACAUUCAAAUGAUUUAACACAACAUUUAACAAGCAAAAGAGCAUCAACACGAUAACAAGGAUGGUUAUCUCCAUCUUACGAGGCAGUUUUGGAUGUUAUAGAAUUCUCUAAUACUGCCUGGUAAUGAUGCAGAUGGCCCUCGAAUAACUCUACGAAAAUGCAGUCUAAUUAUAAGCUCUAUUUCACUCAAAAUUAAAAUAAGCCAUGGUUAAAUGCUCUUAGGGCACAUCUUACCUGACAGUGCUGGGCUGAUCACUUGUGUUCUAACACUGUCUGGUAAUGAUGCACACUGAGAGCAAGAAACUUGAGUAUCAUCCAUUGUGAAGCACAGAGUCAUUUAUUAUACAAACAUUUACUGAAACCUACAGCUAAAUGCAAUGUGUAUCACCUGUAAUCAGUUAGAUAUACUUUUUUGUGAAAAGCAGUUAAGAAUUUUGACUGUUUGACAAUUAGAUGAGAAAAAUAUCGUGUUGAAGUUGAUACUGGGUGUUUUCAUCUCACUUUCAUCCGGCUUUUGUCAUGAGAUUCAAAAUUCACCAUUUUUUUUUUCAGCCCAACCCUGUUGCCCUGUUGAUUGUCUCAAUGACUGGUGUUUGAAGGGCCCCUCCCAAACACACACACACACACACACACACACACACACACACACCUACUAGUGUGUUCUGUCAACCUCUGAUUGGUCCAUUAAACCCCACCUCUAUGGCUUAUUAUGUUGGUGACACAUGAGAUGUGUGUGAGAUGAAGGGUUCCUUUUUUUAUUCUCCGAGAUAAAGGAAAAGGAAGUUAUUACUGUCACCGAAAAGAUGUAUAACACAGUUUAUAAUACUUGGUUAUAGAUGCUUUGCGUUAACUUCUGCAAUAAUUUUGGCAGUGGACAUGAGAUGCUUUGACAAAAUAUUUGGUUCUUUUCCUAUCGCACACUCACAACCACGGACAAUCGCAGAUCUAAAUAACAUGCAAUUCAGAUUUGCAACGGACAGGUGCCACAUAAAAGCAUUUAACAACUAUGUCAUGUUCAAGGUAAUGUUUGCCAAGGGCCUGCUCUUAAAGUGAAGUGUAACCAAACCUUUCUUUACUUUAUCCCAACCCCCCACCACCAGCACUAGUAUUUCUGCUAUUCUAUUCAGUUGUAUAAAGCUCCCAUGAAUGUUUUCUAUCGCUCAUUGUAAUCAUGUUGCCUUUAUUUGCUCUGCCUUUUCUAAUUCUGCCUCUGUUUCACAUUCUGUCCUUGUGCAGUUUCACCAGCCUGAUUCUUCUCCGGACUCAACUCUCCUCUCUGCCUCUUUCAAAUCCUCUGAUUUGCGUCUUACCAGGCAUGUUUAGACGUUGGUAUUCUCUCUAAUACUGCCUGGUAAUGCUGCCAAUCACAAGGAAGUUGCUCAUCAUGGCUUUCCUGCUCGGUCAGCACAGGAACUCUUUUACAUAUGCAUGCUAACAUUAGAGCUUCUGUUCAUCUGCCAAAUUCAUAUUUUUUUUUAUUGUAAUUAAUAAAUGAGGCAAGUUGAUGCAAAUCUUCUAAUGUAAUUGGUAUAUGCAAUAAAUGAUAUUUUAUUUAAA
This is a long non-coding RNA of Silurus meridionalis, 2504 nucleotides long. RefSeq lists it as uncharacterized. Lineage: Eukaryota; Metazoa; Chordata; Actinopteri; Siluriformes; Siluridae. The record is from RefSeq and is a predicted model, not a curated record. The transcript is spliced from 2 exons.